AGCAGAGAUGUUACUUUUGAUGAGAACUCCAUGGUAGCUUCAUUGAAAGCUACAGUGCCCGGUGGUGAUGAUGUUGAGACUACAAUGUCUCAAGUUGUUGACAUAGAACCUAGAGAUCAACCUGAUUCUAGGCAUGUUCAAGAGGAGCAUCAUACAGACACUCAAGAUGAGAGUGAUGAUGCACUUGAACAAGAGGCGGUUCAGCAAGAGAAUGUACAGGCACA
Molecule: long non-coding RNA, 224 nt
Filed under: Olea europaea (common olive)
Lineage: Eukaryota; Viridiplantae; Streptophyta; Magnoliopsida; Lamiales; Oleaceae
Description: long non-coding RNA (OEUR_LNC001200)
Source: RNAcentral